This 1143-nucleotide ribosomal RNA is filed under the name uncultured bacterium. RNAcentral describes it as "bacterial SSU rRNA". It matches the Rfam family "Bacterial small subunit ribosomal RNA", at positions 227 to 1378 of the family's 1533-position model. The record is from RNAcentral.
GGACUCGCGGCUUAUCAGCUUGUUGGUGGGGUAGUGGCUUACCAAGGCUUUGACGGGUAGCCGGCCUGAGAGGGUGACCGGCCACAUUGGGACUGAGAUACGGCCCAGACUCCUACGGGAGGCAGCAGUGGGGAAUAUUGCACAAUGGGCGGAAGCCUGAUGCAGCAACGCCGCGUGCGGGAUGACGGCCUUCGGGUUGUAAACCGCUUUCGCCUGUGACGAAGCGUGAGUGACGGUAAUGGGUAAAGAAGCACCGGCUAACUACGUGCCAGCAGCCGCGGUGAUACGUAGGGUGCGAGCGUUGUCCGGAUUUAUUGGGCGUAAAGGGCUCGUAGGUGGUUGAUCGCGUCGGAAGUGUAAUCUUGGGGCUUAACCCUGAGCGUGCUUUCGAUACGGGUUGACUUGAGGAAGGUAGGGGAGAAUGGAAUUCCUGGUGGAGCGGUGGAAUGCGCAGAUAUCAGGAGGAACACCAGUGGCGAAGGCGGUUCUCUGGGCCUUUCCUGACGCUGAGGAGCGAAAGCGUGGGGAGCGAACAGGCUUAGAUACCCUGGUAGUCCACGCUGUAAACGGUGGGUACUAGGUGUGGGGUCCAUUCCACGGGUUCCGUGCCGUAGCUAACGCUUUAAGUACCCCGCCUGGGGAGUACGGCCGCAAGGCUAAAACUCAAAGGAAUUGACGGGGCCCCGCACAAGCGGCGGAGCAUGCGGAUUAAUUCGAUGCAACGCGUAGAACCUUACCUGGGUUUGACAUGGAUCGGGAGUGCUCAGAGAUGGGUGUGCCUCUUUUGGGGUCGGUUCACAGGUGGUGCAUGGCUGUCGUCAGCUCGUGUCGUGAGAUGUUGGGUUAAGUCCCGCAACGAGCGCAACCCUUGUUCACUGUUGCCAGCACGUUAUGGUGGGGACUCAGUGGAGACCGCCGGGGUCAACUCGGAGGAAGGUGGGGAUGACGUCAAGUCAUCAUGCCCCUUAUGUCCAGGGCUUCACGCAUGCUACAAUGGCUGGUACAGAGAGUGGCGAGCCUGUGAGGGUGAGCGAAUCUCGGAAAGCCGGUCUCAGUUCGGAUUGGGGUCUGCAACUCGACCUCAUGAAGUCGGAGUCGCUAGUAAUCGCAGAUCAGCAACGCUGCGGUGAAUACGUUCCCGGG